UUAUGGUGAUGAGGACAAUUUCUGAGUACGCCCUUGAAUCUCUCCCAAGCUUGGUAGAUACUUUCUUUAUCUUUCUAUCUGAAACUUGAUAUCUCACUCCUCAAUCG
RNAcentral lists this small nucleolar RNA (107 nucleotides) under Capsicum annuum. RNAcentral's name for it is "Plant small nucleolar RNA R71". It matches the Rfam family "Plant small nucleolar RNA R71". From Rfam's summary of the family: R71 is a member of the C/D box family of snoRNAs containing the C (UGAUGA) and D (CUGA) box motifs. The record is from Rfam by way of RNAcentral. Lineage: Eukaryota; Viridiplantae; Streptophyta; Magnoliopsida; Solanales; Solanaceae.